CCCUUAGAUGUUCUGGGCCGCACGCGUGCUACACUGAGUGGAUCAGCGGGUCAGGUUGCGCGAAAGCGUUUCCUAAUCUUUAAAUCCGCUCGUGAUGGGGAUUGACGGUUGCAAUUUUCUGUCAUGAACGAGGAAUACCUUGUAAGCGCGGGUCAUCAUCCCGCGCUGAAUACGUCCCUGCCCUUUGUACACACCGCCCGUCGCUCCUACUGAUUGGAUGGUCCGGUGAACUGGUCGGACUGAUAAUUGUCACUGCGGGUGCAGUAGCAUUACGGAAAGUCCGGUGAACCUUAUCAUCUAGAGGAAGGAGAAGUCGUAACA
Molecule: ribosomal RNA, 321 nt
Filed under: uncultured eukaryote
Lineage: Eukaryota
Description: partial 18S ribosomal RNA
Rfam family: Eukaryotic small subunit ribosomal RNA
Source: RNAcentral